Molecule: ribosomal RNA, 1489 nt
Filed under: Lactiplantibacillus pentosus
Lineage: Bacteria; Bacillati; Bacillota; Bacilli; Lactobacillales; Lactobacillaceae
Description: bacterial SSU rRNA
Rfam family: Bacterial small subunit ribosomal RNA
Source: RNAcentral
GACGAACGCUGGCGGCGUGCCUAAUACAUGCAAGUCGAACGAACUCUGGUAUUGAUUGGUGCUUGCAUCAUGAUUUACAUUUGAGUGAGUGGCGAACUGGUGAGUAACACGUGGGAAACCUGCCCAGAAGCGGGGGAUAACACCUGGAAACAGAUGCUAAUACCGCAUAACAACUUGGACCGCAUGGUCCGAGUUUGAAAGAUGGCUUCGGCUAUCACUUUUGGAUGGUCCCGCGGCGUAUUAGCUAGAUGGUGAGGUAACGGCUCACCAUGGCAAUGAUACGUAGCCGACCUGAGAGGGUAAUCGGCCACAUUGGGACUGAGACACGGCCCAAACUCCUACGGGAGGCAGCAGUAGGGAAUCUUCCACAAUGGACGAAAGUCUGAUGGAGCAACGCCGCGUGAGUGAAGAAGGGUUUCGGCUCGUAAAACUCUGUUGUUAAAGAAGAACAUAUCUGAGAGUAACUGUUCAGGUAUUGACGGUAUUUAACCAGAAAGCCACGGCUAACUACGUGCCAGCAGCCGCGGUAAUACGUAGGUGGCAAGCGUUGUCCGGAUUUAUUGGGCGUAAAGCGAGCGCAGGCGGUUUUUUAAGUCUGAUGUGAAAGCCUUCGGCUCAACCGAAGAAGUGCAUCGGAAACUGGGAAACUUGAGUGCAGAAGAGGACAGUGGAACUCCAUGUGUAGCGGUGAAAUGCGUAGAUAUAUGGAAGAACACCAGUGGCGAAGGCGGCUGUCUGGUCUGUAACUGACGCUGAGGCUCGAAAGUAUGGGUAGCAAACAGGAUUAGAUACCCUGGUAGUCCAUACCGUAAACGAUGAAUGCUAAGUGUUGGAGGGUUUCCGCCCUUCAGUGCUGCAGCUAACGCAUUAAGCAUUCCGCCUGGGGAGUACGGCCGCAAGGCUGAAACUCAAAGGAAUUGACGGGGGCCCGCACAAGCGGUGGAGCAUGUGGUUUAAUUCGAAGCUACGCGAAGAACCUUACCAGGUCUUGACAUACUAUGCAAAUCUAAGAGAUUAGACGUUCCCUUCGGGGACAUGGAUACAGGUGGUGCAUGGUUGUCGUCAGCUCGUGUCGUGAGAUGUUGGGUUAAGUCCCGCAACGAGCGCAACCCUUAUUAUCAGUUGCCAGCAUUAAGUUGGGCACUCUGGUGAGACUGCCGGUGACAAACCGGAGGAAGGUGGGGAUGACGUCAAAUCAUCAUGCCCCUUACGACCUGGGCUACACACGUGCUACAAUGGAUGGUACAACGAGUUGCGAACUCGCGAGAGUAAGCUAAUCUCUUAAAGCCAUUCUCAGUUCGGAUUGUAGGCUGCAACUCGCCUACAUGAAGUCGGAAUCGCUAGUAAUCGCGGAUCAGCAUGCCGCGGUGAAUACGUUCCCGGGCCUUGUACACACCGCCCGUCACACCAUGAGAGCUUGUAACACCCAAAGUCGGUGGGGUAACCUUUUAGGAACCAGCCGCCUAAGGUGGGACAGAUGAUUAGGGUG